UACGUAGGGGGCAAGCGUUGUCCGGAAUCAUUGGGCGUAAAGCGCGUGUAGGCGGCCCGGUAAGUCCGCUGUGAAAGUCCAGGGCUCAACCCUGGGAUGCCGGUGGAUACUGUCGGGCUCGAGUCCGGAAGAGGCGAGUGGAAUUCCUGGUGUAGCGGUGAAAUGCGCAGAUAUCAGGAGGAACACCAAUGGCGAAGGCAGCUCGCUGGGACGUGACUGACGAUGAGACGCGAAAGCGUGGGGAGCAAACAGG
Molecule: ribosomal RNA, 253 nt
Filed under: uncultured bacterium
Lineage: Bacteria
Description: partial 16S ribosomal RNA
Rfam family: Bacterial small subunit ribosomal RNA
Source: RNAcentral